GUGACGGUGCGACGCCGCGUGGGUGACGAAGGCCUUCGGGUUGUAAAGCCCUGUCGAGGCGGGAAGAACCCCCCAUCGGUGAACAGCCUUUGGGGCUGACGGUACCGCCACAGGAAGCACCGGCUAACUACGUGCCAGCAGCCGCGGUAAUACGUAGGGUGCAAACGUUGUUCGGAAUCACUGGGCAUAAAGAGCGCGUAGGCGGUCUGGUAAGUCAGGUGUGAAAUCCCCCGGCUCAACCGGGGAACUGCAUUUGAUACUGCCAAGCUAGAGUGCAGGAGGGGGGAGUGGAAUUCCUGGUGGAGCGGUGAAAUGCGUAGAUAUCAGGAGGAACGCCGGUGGCGAAAGCGGCUCCCUGGUCUGCAACUGACGCUGAGGCGCGAAAGCUAGGGUAGCGAACGGGAUUAGAUACCCCGGUAGUCCUAGCCCUAAACGAUGGGCACUAAGUAGAGGGGUUUU
This 459-nucleotide ribosomal RNA is filed under the name uncultured bacterium. RNAcentral describes it as "bacterial SSU rRNA". It matches the Rfam family "Bacterial small subunit ribosomal RNA", at positions 383 to 832 of the family's 1533-position model. The record is from RNAcentral.